UGGGGAAUAUUGCACAAUGGGCGCAAGCCUGAUGCAGCGACGCCGCGUGAGGGAUGACGGCCUUCGGGUUGUAAACCUCUUUCAGCUCCGACGAAGCGCAAGUGACGGUAGGAGCAGAAGAAGCACCGGCCAACUACGUGCCAGCAGCCGCGGUAAUACGUAGGGUGCAUGCGUUGUCCGGAAUUACUGGGCGUAAAGAGCUCGUAGGCGGUUUGUCGCGUCGUCUGUGAAAUUCUGCAGCUUAACUGCAGGCGUGCAGGCGAUACGGGCAGACUUGAGUACUACAGGGGAGACUGGAAUUCCUGGUGUAGCGGUGAAAUGCGCAGAUAUCAGGAGGAACACCGGUGGCGAAGGCGGGUCUCUGGGUAGUAACUGACGCUGAGGAGCGAAAGCGUGGGUAGCGAACAGG
This 409-nucleotide ribosomal RNA is filed under the name Actinomycetes bacterium. Its description in RNAcentral is "Actinobacteria bacterium partial 16S ribosomal RNA". It matches the Rfam family "Bacterial small subunit ribosomal RNA", at positions 355 to 776 of the family's 1533-position model. The record is from RNAcentral. Lineage: Bacteria; Bacillati; Actinomycetota; Actinomycetes.